ACCGUACUCCUACGGGAGGCAGCAGUGGGGAAUAUUGGACAAUGGGCGAAAGCCUGAUCCAGCCAUGCCGCGUGUGUGAAGAAGGUCUUCGGAUUGUAAAGCACUUUAAGUUGGGAGGAAGGGUUGUAGAUUAAUACUCUGCAAUUUUGACGUUACCGACAGAAUAAGCACCGGCUAACUCUGUGCCAGCAGCCGCGGUAAUACAGAGGGUGCAAGCGUUAAUCGGAAUUACUGGGCGUAAAGCGCGCGUAGGUGGUUUGUUAAGUUGGAUGUGAAAUCCCCGGGCUCAACCUGGGAACUGCAUUCAAAACUGACUGACUAGAGUAUGGUAGAGGGUGGUGGAAUUUCCUGUGUAGCGGUGAAAUGCGUAGAUAUAGGAAGGAACACCAGUGGCGAAGGCGACCACCUGGACUAAUACUGACACUGAGGUGCGAAAGCGUGGGGAGCAAACAGGAUUAGAAACCCGGGUAGUCCUUGAC
This 479-nucleotide ribosomal RNA is filed under the name uncultured bacterium. RNAcentral's name for it is "bacterial SSU rRNA". It matches the Rfam family "Bacterial small subunit ribosomal RNA", at positions 330 to 801 of the family's 1533-position model. The record is from RNAcentral.